This 450-nucleotide ribosomal RNA is filed under the name uncultured bacterium. RNAcentral describes it as "partial 16S ribosomal RNA". It matches the Rfam family "Bacterial small subunit ribosomal RNA", at positions 338 to 795 of the family's 1533-position model. The record is from RNAcentral.
CCUACGGGUGGCUGCAGUGGGGAAUUUUGGACAAUGGGGGCAACCCUGAUCCAGCCAUUCCGCGUGAGUGAAGAAGGCCUUCGGGUUGUAAAGCUCUUUUGUCCGGAGCGAAACGGGCGGCCCUAAUACGGUCGUCUACUGACGGUACCGGAAGAAUAAGCACCGGCUAACUACGUGCCAGCAGCCGCGGUAAUACGUAGGGUGCGAGCGUUAAUCGGAGUUUGUGGGCGCAAUGUGUUAAGAGGCGUGUGAAAUCCCCGGGCUCAACCUGGGAAUGGCAUUUGGGACUGCAAGGCUGGAGUGUGGCAGAGGGGACUAGAAUUCCUGGUGUAGCAGUGAAAUGCGUAGAUAUCAGGAGGAAUACCGAUGGCGAAGGCAGGUCCCUGGGUUAACACUGACGCUCAUGCACGAAAGCGUGGGGAGCAAACAGGAUUAGAUACCCCGGUAGUC